RNAcentral lists this small nuclear RNA (19 nucleotides) under Arabidopsis thaliana (thale cress). RNAcentral describes it as "snRNA_03018". Lineage: Eukaryota; Viridiplantae; Streptophyta; Magnoliopsida; Brassicales; Brassicaceae. The record is from RNAcentral.
CGUUCAUAGCGACGUUGCU